UACCAGCCAAGGUAUCCUUUUCAAGGAUAGCA
This 32-nucleotide non-coding RNA is filed under the name Homo sapiens (human). The record is from RNAcentral. Lineage: Eukaryota; Metazoa; Chordata; Mammalia; Primates; Hominidae.